This 188-nucleotide ribosomal RNA is filed under the name Oscillospiraceae bacterium. RNAcentral's name for it is "partial 16S ribosomal RNA". It matches the Rfam family "Bacterial small subunit ribosomal RNA", at positions 1 to 185 of the family's 1533-position model. The record is from RNAcentral. Lineage: Bacteria; Bacillati; Bacillota; Clostridia; Eubacteriales; Oscillospiraceae.
UUUAUUGAGAGUUUGAUCCUGGCUCAGGACGAACGCUGGCGGCGUGCCUAACACAUGCAAGUCGAACGGGAACCUGGGGGCUUGCCCCCGGGGGACAGUGGCGGACGGGUGAGUAACGCGUGAGCAAUCUGGCUUUCGGAGGGGGACAACAGCUGGAAACGGCUGCUAAUACCGCAUGACGUAUCGGA